This 1438-nucleotide ribosomal RNA is filed under the name metagenome. Its description in RNAcentral is "bacterial SSU rRNA". It matches the Rfam family "Bacterial small subunit ribosomal RNA". The record is from RNAcentral.
GGGGAAGUGGCGGAAGGGUGAGUAACACGUGGGUAAUCUGCCCUCGGGUCCGGGAUAGCCCUAAGAAAUUAGGAUUAAUACCGGAUAAUACCUGGAGAACAUCAGUUUUCCCGGUCAAAGGUGGCCUCUUCUUGAAAGCUACCACCUGUGGAUGAGCCCGCGGGCAAUUAGCUUGUUGGUGAGGUAACGGCUCCACCAAGGCUUUGAUUGCUAGCCGGCCUGAGAAGGUGAUCGGCCACACUGGGACUGAGACACGGCCCAGACUUCUACGGAAGGCAGCAGCUAAGAAUAUUCCGCAAUGGGGGAAACCCUGACGGAGCGUCGCCGCGUGGGUGAUGAAGGCCCUUACGGGUUGUAAAACCCUGUUUUGGAGGAUGAAUAAGGUCCGGGUGAAUAAUCCGGACCGAUGACCGUACUUCAAGAGAAAGCCCCGGCUAAUUACGUGCCAGCAGCCGCGGUAAUACGUAUGGGGCGAGCGUUGUUCGGAUUUACUGGGCGUAAAGGGCGCGCAGGCGGAUAUGAAAGUUGAGUGUGAAAUCUACGGGCUUAACCCGUAAACUGCAUUCAAAACUACAUGUCUUGAGUUCAGAAGGGGAGAACGGAAUUCCUAGUGUAGGGGUGAAAUCUGUAGAUAUUAGGAAGAACACCGGUGGCGAAGGCGGUUCUCUGGUCUGAAACUGACGCUGAGGCGCGAAAGCUAGGGUAGCGAACGGGAUUAGAUACCCCGGUAGUCCUAGCCGUAAACGUUGAACACUAGGUGUGGGAGGUUUUUCUGACCUUCUGUGCCGAAGCUAACGUAUUAAGUGUUCCGCCUGGGGAGUAUGCCCGCAAGGGUGAAACUCAAAGGAAUUGACGGGGGCCCGCACAAGCGGUGGAGCAUGUGGUUCAAUUCGAUCCUACGCGAGGAACCUUACCAGGCUUUGAAAUGUACUCGACCGGUGCAGAGAUGCGCCUUUCCGCAAGGACGAGUGCACAGGUGCUGCAUGGCUGUCGUCAGCUCGUGUUGUGAGAUGUUGGGUUAAGUCCCGCAACGAGCGCAACCCCUAUCCUUUGUUGCCAUCAGGUUAAGCUGGGCACUCGAGGGAAACUGCCGGUGUAAAUCGGAGGAAGGUGGGGAUGACGUCAAGUCCUCAUGGCCUUUAUGGCCUGGGCUACACCCGUGCUACAAUGGCCGGUACAGAGGGUCGCUAAAUCGCAAGAUCAUGCAAAUCUCUUAAAACCGGCCCCAGUUAGGAUUGGAGUCUGCAAUUCGACUCCAUGAAUCUGGAAUCGCUAGUAAUCGCAGAUCAGAAUGCUGCGGUGAAUACGUUCCCGGGCCUUGUACACACCGCCCGUCACACCAUCCGAGUCAAAUGUACCCGUAGUCAACUUUCUAACCUGCAAAGGAAGGAAUUGCCGAAGGUAUGCUUGGUAAGGAGGGUGAAGUCGUAACAAGGUA